Molecule: ribosomal RNA, 501 nt
Filed under: uncultured bacterium
Lineage: Bacteria
Description: partial 16S ribosomal RNA
Rfam family: Bacterial small subunit ribosomal RNA
Source: RNAcentral
AUUGAACGCUGGCGGCAGGCUUAACACAUGCAAGUCGAGCGGAGAUGAGGUGCUUGCACCUUAUCUUAGCGGCGGACGGGUGAGUAAUGCUUAGGAAUCUGCCUAUUAGUGGGGGACAACAUUCCGAAAGGAAUGCUAAUACCGCAUACGUCCUACGGGAGAAAGCAGGGGAUCUUCGGACCUUGCGCUAAUAGAUGAGCCUAAGUCGGAUUAGCUAGUUGGUGGGGUAAAGGCCUACCAAGGCGACGAUCUGUAGCGGGUCUGAGAGGAUGAUCCGCCAAACUGGGACUGAAACACGGCCCAGACUCCUACGGGAGGCAGCAGUGGGGAAUAUUGGACAAUGGGGGAAACCCUGAUCCAGCCAUGCCGCGUGUGUGAAGAAGGCCUUAUGGUUGUAAAGCACUUUAAGCGAGGAGGAGGCUACUGAGACUAAUACUCUUGGAUAGUGGACGUUACUCGCAGAAUAAGCACCGGCUAACUCUGUGCCAGCAGCCGCGGUAA